UCUCUCUUUUAUCGCUGUAUCGAUAUCGUUUCGACGACAAGAAAUAGGCUAGCUUGCUCAAUUUCGGAUGAUUGUCUGUGCAACCAUUCGUAUACUUUUGAGGGCCGUAUUACGUCAUUGCGACUUCGCAGUGAUGUGAUUUUUGGAUGACGUAGUCAUGUCUGCAUGUGGGGGUUAGAAAUUACAUAUGUAAAUAUUGUUGAGCCAGGCCAACUAGAAGUACUUGCGGCGCAUACUUCAGGAGACCCGAUAAGACCAUAUAAAUACAGAAAUAUAACGUUAUCAGUAACUUAUAUUGCGAGUCUAACUUCUGAACUUCGUACCAGUAACGGGAGCUAUCUCAACUAAUCUUGAUUUGCCAAACUUGCCAAAAAGAUUCUGUACAGGCUAUUGCUGUAUUGGGCUUAUUUAUCUGUUUGGUGAGUCGAGCGGGAACAAUUUAUUUUUCUUUCGUGCUUAACUUGGAAUUACACAAUUUUAACAGCUAUCAUACAUUUUGUUAGUAGCCUACUGAGCACAUAACUUUCUAUUCAGGAUGUUGAUUUUCUUGAAAAUGAAGAUGAUCACAGUAUUGGGACUUACAAGUCUGCAAGUAGAUAAUAGCAGAGGAACUAAAUGAGAGAAAUAUAGCAGAUGAGCAGUGCUGCAGUGAACAACUCAUAGGAUGUUGAUUUUCUUGAAAAUGAAGAUGAUCACAGUAUUGGAACUCACAAGUAGCUAAUAGCAGAGAAACUAAAUGGGAGAAAUAUAGCAGAUGAGCAGUGAACAACUGAUAGAUUGUAAGUCCAUUCCAAUGAUGAACUCUGGAUCAUCACUAGAUCACAGUUCGAAUGGAAGCUUUAAUUACACAAAAGCAAUGGCAGUGAUGGACUCUUUGUUACAGGAUUUUCAAUCUACAAAUACCAGGUAGCAGAAAAGCUUGACAUUCAUCACAGCAUGCCUACUGCUCCUGCCAAAUGAAGAAUUCCCAUUCAAAAAACAAAAAAGGCGUAACUUGACUUUCUCAUUACGACUGUAUUUAUCUGCGACCUUUAGUAGUCAAUUUCGCCAAAUAUUUACUGUUUUAAUAAAUUGUUUAAAUCUUGAAAA
Styela clava is the source of this 1089-nucleotide non-coding RNA. NCBI's taxonomy places the organism in Eukaryota, Metazoa, Chordata, Ascidiacea, Stolidobranchia, Styelidae. The record is from RefSeq and is a predicted model, not a curated record.